RNAcentral lists this ribosomal RNA (254 nucleotides) under uncultured bacterium. RNAcentral's name for it is "partial 16S ribosomal RNA". It matches the Rfam family "Bacterial small subunit ribosomal RNA", at positions 524 to 776 of the family's 1533-position model. The record is from RNAcentral.
UACGGAGGGUGCAAGCGUUAUCCGGAUUUACUGGGUUUAAAGGGUGUGUAGGCGGGCUAUUAAGUCAGCGGUGAAAUCUCCGGGCUCAACCUGGAAACUGCCAUUGAUACUAUUAGUCUUGAAUUUUGUUGAGGUAGGCGGAAUAAGUCAUGUAGCGGUGAAAUGCAUAGAUAUGACUUAGAACACCAAUUGCGAAAGGCAGCUUGCUAAACAAAUAUUGACGCUGAGGCACGAAAGCGUGGGGAGCAAACAGG